This 160-nucleotide non-coding RNA is filed under the name Physcomitrium patens. RNAcentral's name for it is "Physcomitrella patens Eukaryotic small subunit ribosomal RNA". It matches the Rfam family "Eukaryotic small subunit ribosomal RNA", at positions 1668 to 1823 of the family's 1831-position model. The record is from Rfam by way of RNAcentral. Lineage: Eukaryota; Viridiplantae; Streptophyta; Bryopsida; Funariales; Funariaceae.
AUCGCCCAUUAUUCCUAUUGAUUGAAUAGUCCAAUGAAGUUUUUGGAUUGUAGUAAUGUCGACAAUUUGUCAUCGAUAAUGUUGAAAGAAGUUCAGUAAAUCUUAUCAUUUAGAGGAAGAAGAAAUUGUAAUAAGGUUUUUGUAGGUGAACUUACAAAAG